RNAcentral lists this ribosomal RNA (222 nucleotides) under Trypanosoma vegrandis. RNAcentral describes it as "partial 18S ribosomal RNA". It matches the Rfam family "Eukaryotic small subunit ribosomal RNA", at positions 825 to 1048 of the family's 1831-position model. The record is from RNAcentral. Lineage: Eukaryota; Euglenozoa; Kinetoplastea; Trypanosomatida; Trypanosomatidae.
CUCUCGCGUACUCGCCUUCUUCGGCUCACGGCGCCCAGGAAUGAAGGAGGGUAGUUCGGGGGAGAACGUAUUGGUGCGUCAGAGGUGAAAUUCUUGGACCGCACCAGGACGAACUACAGCGAAGGCAUUCUUCAAGAAUACCUUCCUCAAUCAAGAACCAAAGUGUGGGGAUCAAAGAUGAUUAGAGACCAUUGUAGUCCACACUGCAAACGAUGACACCCA